GAUGAAGAACGUAGCGAAAUGCGAUACGUAAUGUGAAUUGCAGAAUUCAGUGAAUCAUCGAGUCUUUGAACGCACAUUGCGCCCCCUGGUAUUCCGGGGGGCAUGCCUGUCCGAGCGUCAUUGCUGCCCUCAAGCACGGCUUGUGUGUUGGGCCUCCGCCCCCCGGCUCCCGGGGGGCGGGCCCGAAAGGCAGCGGCGGCACCGCGUCCGGUCCUCGAGCGUAUGGGGCUUCGUCACCCGCUCCGUAGGCCCGGCCGGCGCCCGCCGGCGACCCCCCUCAAUCUUUCCAGGUUGACCUCGGAUCAGGUAGGGAUACCCGCUGAACUUAAGCAUAUCAAAAGCGGAGGA
Molecule: unclassified non-coding RNA, 348 nt
Filed under: soil metagenome
Description: partial contains 5.8S ribosomal RNA, internal transcribed spacer 2, and large subunit ribosomal RNA
Rfam family: 5.8S ribosomal RNA (bases 1-120)
Source: RNAcentral